GAGAAGGGGCCUCACAGUGCCAGGGUCGGGGCUGUGGCCCUUAAGCAGCAGCUCACCCACCAUCACCCCCAGGCUGUACCUAUGUCAGAGACUUCGAUAGCGUUUAGGAAGGACGCUCUGGCUUGCCCCCAUCGAUACUCAGGCAUCAACUCAUCCAUGGUGGCACCAUGUUUACAGGGCCACCAGUGGCCGGGGGUGUCUUGGGAAGACCAGACCAGUGGAAGCCCCAGUUAAAGGUUGAUAUUGAGUAUUUUACCCAGUUGCAAGCCAAGAAGCACUAUGAACAGCAUCUUCAUUUGCUGCAGCCACAUCUGACCUUGGUUCCCAUACCAAGUUGCCACUUCCUGACUGUAACCAUUUGCGGCUAUACCAGAAUCUCACAAUGUGCCCCGUGAAAAAAGACAAGGAAAUGCAGCAGUCCAAGCCCCUAACUGGAGGAGGCUCCUGACUCUGGGGACUUACUCCUUCACUCAUCUCCUGCCAGCAGCAGAUGGAGCCGGUCUGGGCUAUGGAAAGGCCCUGAGCGCAAAGGGUUAACACGCUGCCCCUGGAAUGACUGGGCUUUCCCUCGAUUGGUGCUGCCUUUCAGGCCCAGGCCUGCCUGAUGAUUCUUGGUGUAGGUUAAAGGACCAUGAAUUUGUGGCUCCUGAGUGCGUGGUAAUGAGCUCAGGCACCAAAAAUUGAGAACUGGUUAUACUUGGCUUCUCCAUCCAGGUUGAAAUAGCUCACCUGUAUUCUGAGUGGUGAAGAAAGGGCUUUGAGAACACUGGAUGCCUGAGGAUGGGCAGUAUAGCCUCCAAAAAAAAAAAGAAUCAGAAGCUGGUACUAACUAAAGAAUCUGUGAGACCGGGCACGGUGGCUCACGCCUGUAAUCCCAGCUACUUGUUAGACUAAAGCAGGAGAACUGCU
This 909-nucleotide long non-coding RNA is filed under the name Homo sapiens (human). Its description in RNAcentral is "HSALNT0310587". The record is from RNAcentral. Lineage: Eukaryota; Metazoa; Chordata; Mammalia; Primates; Hominidae.